This 331-nucleotide long non-coding RNA is filed under the name Bos indicus x Bos taurus (hybrid cattle). RNAcentral describes it as "lncRNA (ENSBIXG00005012854.1)". Lineage: Eukaryota; Metazoa; Chordata; Mammalia; Artiodactyla; Bovidae. The record is from RNAcentral.
GUGUGACCGUAGACUUGUGACGACGUCUCUCUGAUUUUCUUCACAGGACCAGAGGCGGGGAUCUGUUGAUGCUCUUCCUGAGAAAAGAUGGUUGCCAGCUGGACUACAGUCUGAGAAAGAGUCUUGUCUGCCCCAACUCAUUGGGGGGAAAAAAUGGAUUUAAAAAAUCAGCUUUAUUGAGCACUAAUUUUUAACUGGCUGCAGCACCAUAGCUGGAAAACACCACCCUUGGAAAGUCCUGCUUACUCAGCUGAAAGCUGCAGCUGUUCCCAUAAGCAAUUUGACGUUUAACACCUGAGAUUGGCUCCCUCCUUCCAGCAAGACUGCAAGC